UGGGGAAUAUUGCACAAUGGGCGAAAGCCUGAUGCAGCAACGCCGCGUGAGUGAUGAAGGUCUUCGGAUUGUAAAGCUCUGUCUUUUGGGACGAUAAUGACGGUACCAAAGGAGGAAGCCACGGCUAACUACGUGCCAGCAGCCGCGGUAAUACGUAGGUGGCGAGCGUUGUCCGGAUUUACUGGGCGUAAAGGGUGCGUAGGCGGAUGUUUAAGUGAGAUGUGAAAUACCCGGGCUUAACUUGGGUGCUGCAUUUCAAACUGGAUAUCUAGAGUGCAGGAGAGGAGAAUGGAAUUCCUAGUGUAGCGGUGAAAUGCGUAGAGAUUAGGAAGAACACCAGUGGCGAAGGCGAUUCUCUGGACUGUAACUGACGCUGAGGCACGAAAGCGUGGGUAGCAAACAGGAUUAGAUACCCUGGUAGUCCACGCCGUAAACGAUGAGUACUAGGUGUAGGAGGUAUCGACCCCUUCUGUGCCGCAGUAAACACAUUAAGUACUCCGCCUGGGAAGUACGAUCGCAAGAUUAAAACUCUAAAGGAAUUGAC
RNAcentral lists this ribosomal RNA (544 nucleotides) under uncultured bacterium. Its description in RNAcentral is "partial 16S ribosomal RNA". It matches the Rfam family "Bacterial small subunit ribosomal RNA", at positions 355 to 914 of the family's 1533-position model. The record is from RNAcentral.